GUCUUUUUGUUUAUAAUUUAAAGUCUAACCUGCCCACUGAAAUUUGAAUGGCCGCGGUAUUUUGACCGUGCGAAGGUAGCAUAAUAAUUAGUUUUUUAAUUGGAAGCUGGAAUGAAUGGUUGAACGAGGAAAUAGCUGUCUCUAUAUUAAUUUAUUAGAAUUUUAUUUUUAAGUUAAAAAGCUUAAAUAAGUUUAAAAGACGAGAAGACCCUAUAGAUUUUUAUAAAAUUUUUAUUUAAAAAUUUUUAGGAUAUUUGUUUUUUAAUUAAAUAUUUUAUUUUAUUGGGGUGAUAGAAAAAUUUAAUUAACUUUUUUUUUAUUUUAACAUUGAUAUAUGAUUUAAUGAUCCAUAUUUUAUGAUUAUAAGAUUAAAUUACCUUAGGGAUAACAGCGUAAUUUUUUCUAAGAGUUCUUAUCGAAGAAAAAGAUUGCGACCUCGAUGUUGGAUUAAAAUUAAUGCUUGGUGUAGAAGUUAAGCAGUUGGGUCUGUUCGACCUUUAAAAUUUU
This 507-nucleotide ribosomal RNA is filed under the name Cafius caribeanus. Its description in RNAcentral is "partial 16S ribosomal RNA". It matches the Rfam family "Bacterial large subunit ribosomal RNA", at positions 1893 to 2597 of the family's 2925-position model. The record is from RNAcentral. Lineage: Eukaryota; Metazoa; Arthropoda; Insecta; Coleoptera; Staphylinidae.